UUUUCGCAAUGCCCGAAAGGGUGACGAAGCGACGCCGCGUGGGUGAGGAAGGCCCUCGGGUUGUAAAGCCCUGUCAGGAGUUAAGAAAUGUAAGUGCGCUAAUAUCGCAUUUAUUUGACGAAGGCUCCAAAGGAAGCCACGGCUAACUCUGUGCCAGCAGCCGCGGUAAUACAGAGGUGGCAAGCGUUGUUCGGAAUUAUUGGGCGUAAAGAGCACGUAGGUGGGUUUGUAAGUCAGAUGUGAAAGCCUUCUGUUCAACGGAAGAAUUGCAUCUGAAACUACAAGUCUUGAGUGUAGGAGGGGAGAAUGGAACUUCUGGUGGAGCGGUGAAAUGCGUAGAUAUCAGAAGGAACGCCGGCGGCGAAAGCGAUUCUCUGGCCUAUUACUGACACUCAGUGUGCGAAAGCUAGGGGAGCAAACGGGAUUAGAUACCCCGGUAGUCCUAGCCGUAAACGAUGGGCACUAAGUAGAGGGGUUUUA
Molecule: ribosomal RNA, 480 nt
Filed under: uncultured anaerobic ammonium-oxidizing bacterium
Lineage: Bacteria
Description: bacterial SSU rRNA
Rfam family: Bacterial small subunit ribosomal RNA
Source: RNAcentral